Molecule: ribosomal RNA, 253 nt
Filed under: uncultured bacterium
Lineage: Bacteria
Description: partial 16S ribosomal RNA
Rfam family: Bacterial small subunit ribosomal RNA
Source: RNAcentral
GACAGAGGUGCCGAGCGUUAGGCGGAAUCACUGGGCUUAAAGCGUGUGUAGGCGGGCCGUUAAGUGUCUUGUGAAAUCCCCCGGCUCAACCGGGGAAUUGCUGGGCAUACUGGCGGUCUUGAGCGAUCUAGGGGCAGAUGGAACAAGUGGUGGAGCGGUGAAAUGCGUUGAUAUCUACAGGAACUCCGGUGGCGAAAGCGGCGUGCUGGACCUUUUCUGACGCUGAGGCGCGAAAGCUAGGGGAGCAAACGGG